AACGAACGUUAGCGGCGCGCUUAACACAUGCAAGUCGAACGAGAAAGGGCUUCGGCCCCGGUACAGUGGCGCACGGGUGAGUAACACGUAGGUAACCUGCCCUUGAGUGGUGGAUAACAUUCCAAAAGGAGUGCUAAUACAGCAUAAGACCACGGUUCCAUCAAGGAACAGGGGUCAAAGCGGGCCUCUUCAUGAAAGCUCGCGCUUGGGGAUGGGCCUGCGGCGCAUCAGCUAGUUGGUGAGGUAAUGGCUCACCAAGGCUAAGACGCGUAGCUGGUCUGAGAGGAUGAUCAGCCACACUGGAACUGAGACACGGUCCAGACUCCUACGGGAGGCAGCAGUGGGGAAUUUGCGCAAUGGGCGAAAGCCUGACGCAGCGACGCCGCGUGGGUGAUGAAGGCCCUCGGGUUGUAAAGCCCUGUGGGGAGGGAUGAAUAAGGUAUGGCUAAUACCUAUACUGAUGACAGUACCUCCUUAGCAAGCACCGGCUAA
This 492-nucleotide ribosomal RNA is filed under the name uncultured bacterium. RNAcentral describes it as "bacterial SSU rRNA". It matches the Rfam family "Bacterial small subunit ribosomal RNA", at positions 29 to 500 of the family's 1533-position model. The record is from RNAcentral.